RNAcentral lists this unclassified non-coding RNA (206 nucleotides) under Hevea brasiliensis (rubber tree). The record is from RNAcentral. Lineage: Eukaryota; Viridiplantae; Streptophyta; Magnoliopsida; Malpighiales; Euphorbiaceae.
GCUUGAAGGAGGUGGGGCUCAUAGAGGUGAUCUAAUGCUUGCUACUUGGGUUGGGACUCAAGCUGAUGAUUCAUUCCCUGAAGCCUGGAAAACCGACACUGCCGAUAAUCCUGCUUCUAAAUCUAAGGUAUAUCAAUCUCCUAAAUUGUGGUAUUUGAGAUCAUCAGUGAUAGAGGCACAAGACAUUUCCCACUCAAAGGAUUCAU